CCUACGGGUGGCAGCAGUGAGGAAUAUUGGUCAAUGGACGAGAGUCUGAACCAGCCAAGUAGCGUGAAGGAUGACUGCCCUAUGGGUUGUACACUUCUUUUAUAUGGGAAUAAAACGUUCCACGUGUGGCAUUUUUUAUGUACCAUAUGAAUAAGGAUCGGCUAACUCCGUGCCAGCAGCCGCGGUAAUACGGAGGAUCCGAGCGUUAUCCGGAUUUAUUGGGUUUAAAGGGAGCGUAGGUGGAUUGGUAAGUCAGUUGUGAAAGUUUGCGGCGCAACCGUAAGAUUGCAGUUGAAACUGGCAGUCUUGAGUACAGGAGAGGUGGGCGGAAUGCGUGGUGUAGCGGUGAAAUGCUUAGAUAUCACGAAGAACUCCGAUUGCGAAGGCAGUUCACUGGACUGCAACUGACACUGAGGCUCGAAAGUGUGGGUAUCAAACAGGAUUAGAUACCCCGGUAGUC
Molecule: ribosomal RNA, 460 nt
Filed under: uncultured bacterium
Lineage: Bacteria
Description: partial 16S ribosomal RNA
Rfam family: Bacterial small subunit ribosomal RNA
Source: RNAcentral